AGUGAACGCUGGCGGUAGGCCUAACACAUGCAAGUCGAACGGUAGCACAGUAAGAGCUUGCUCUUACGGGUGGCGAGUGGCGGACGGGUGAGGAAUACAUCGGAAUCUACUUUUUCGUGGGGGAUAACGUAGGGAAACUUACGCUAAUACCGCAUACGACCUACGGGUGAAAGCAGGGGAUCUUCGGACCUUGCGCGAUUGAAUGAGCCGAUGUCGGAUUAGCUAGUUGGCGGGGUAAAGGCCCACCAAGGCGACGAUCCGUAGCUGGUCUGAGAGGAUGGUCAGCCACACUGGAACUGAGACACGGUCCAGACUCCUACGGGAGGCAGCAGUGGGGAAUAUUGGACAAUGGGCGCAAGCCUGAUCCAGCCAUACCGCGUGGGUGAAGAAGGCCUUCUGGUUGUAAAGCCCUUUUGUUGGGAGAGAAAAGCAGCAGGUUAAUACCCCGCUGUGCUGACGGUACCCAAAGAAUAAGCACCGGCUAACUUCGUG
Molecule: ribosomal RNA, 492 nt
Filed under: uncultured bacterium
Lineage: Bacteria
Description: partial 16S ribosomal RNA
Rfam family: Bacterial small subunit ribosomal RNA
Source: RNAcentral